AGAGUUUGAUCCUGGCUCAGAUUGAACGCUGGCGGCAGGCCUAACACAUGCAAGUCGAACGGUAACAGGAAACAGCUUGCUGUUUCGCUGACGAGUGGCGGACGGGUGAGUAAUGUCUGGGAAACUGCCUGAUGGAGGGGGAUAACUACUGGAAACGGUAGCUAAUACCGCAUAACGUCGCAAGACCAAAGAGGGGGACCUUCGGGCCUCUUGCCAUCGGAUGUGCCCAGAUGGGAUUAGCUAGUAGGUGGGGUAACGGCUCACCUAGGCGACGAUCCCUAGCUGGUCUGAGAGGAUGACCAGCCACACUGGAACUGAGACACGGUCCAGACUCCUACGGGAGGCAGCAGUGGGGAAUAUUGCACAAUGGGCGCAAGCCUG
Molecule: ribosomal RNA, 381 nt
Filed under: uncultured bacterium
Lineage: Bacteria
Description: bacterial SSU rRNA
Rfam family: Bacterial small subunit ribosomal RNA
Source: RNAcentral